Molecule: ribosomal RNA, 516 nt
Filed under: uncultured bacterium
Lineage: Bacteria
Description: bacterial SSU rRNA
Rfam family: Bacterial small subunit ribosomal RNA
Source: RNAcentral
AGAGUUUGAUCCUGGCUCAGAAUGAACGCUGGCGGCGUGCCUAACACAUGCAAGUCGAACGAGAAAGCGGGCUUCGGCCCGUGAGUACAGUGGCAGACGGGUGAGUAACACGUGGGUAACCUGCCCGGAGGUGGGGGAUAACCCUUCGAAAGGAGGGCUAAUACCGCAUGAUAUCUCGAGGGCCUCGGCUUUCGAGAUCAAAGCUUGCCUCUACUCGUAAGCAAGCACCACCGGAGGGACCCGCGCCCCAUUAGCUUGAUGGUGAGGUAGUGGCUCACCAUGGCGACGAUGGGUAGCCGGCCUGAGAGGAUGAUCAGCCACACUGGGACUGAGACACGGCCCAGACUCCUACGGGAGGCAGCAGUGGGGAAUAUUGCACAAUGAGCGCAAGCUUGAUGCAGCAAUGCCGCGUGUGUGAAGAAGGCCUGCGGGUUGUAAAGCACUUUUAUCGGGAAAGAAAUCCUUGGGGUUAAUAACUCUAAGGCUUGACGUACCCGAAGAAUAAGACCGCUAACU